Molecule: transfer RNA, 70 nt
Filed under: Camelus bactrianus (Bactrian camel)
Lineage: Eukaryota; Metazoa; Chordata; Mammalia; Artiodactyla; Camelidae
Also listed under: 2 other names
Rfam family: tRNA
About the family: Transfer RNA (tRNA) molecules are approximately 80 nucleotides in length. Their secondary structure includes four short double-helical elements and three loops (D, anti-codon, and T loops). Further hydrogen bonds mediate the characteristic L-shaped molecular structure. tRNAs have two regions of fundamental functional importance: the anti-codon, which is responsible for specific mRNA codon recognition, and the 3' end, to which the tRNAs corresponding amino acid is attached (by aminoacyl-tRNA synthetases). tRNAs cope with the degeneracy of the genetic code in two manners: having more than one tRNA (with a specific anti-codon) for a particular amino acid; and 'wobble' base-pairing, i.e. permitting non-standard base-pairing at the 3rd anti-codon position.
Source: Rfam by way of RNAcentral
GGGUAUAGCUUAGUGGUUAAGUGUGUGCUUAGCAUGCACAAAGUCCUGGGUUCUAUCCCCAGUACUUCCA